CUAAGAAUAUUCCGCAAUGGACGAAAGUCUGACGGAGCGACGCCGCGUGGAUGAUGAAGGCCGAAAGGUUGUAAAGUUCUUUUACUGGGGAAGAAUAACCGUAGGAGGGAAUGCCUGCGGGAUGACAUGAACCGGUGAAUAAGCCCCGGCCAACUACGUGCCAGCAGCCGCGGUAACACGUAGGGGGCGAGCGUUGUUCGGAAUUACUGGGCGUAAAGGGCAUGUAGGCGGUUUGGUAAGCCUGGCGUGAAAUACUGCAGCUUAACUGCAGGGGUGCGUUGGGAACUGCUGAGCUUGAGUUACGGAGAGGGAGUUAGAAUUCCUGGUGUAGGGGUGAAAUCUGUAGAUAUCAGGAAGAAUACCGAUGGCGAAGGCAAGCUCCUGGCCGAUGACUGACGCUGAGGUGCGAAAAGUGUGGGGAUCAAACAGGAUUAGAUACCCUGGUAGUCCACACGGUAAACGAUGUGCACUAGGUGCUGGUGCGGUAGUAUCAGUGCCGGAGCGAACGUGGU
This 512-nucleotide ribosomal RNA is filed under the name uncultured bacterium. Its description in RNAcentral is "partial 16S ribosomal RNA". It matches the Rfam family "Bacterial small subunit ribosomal RNA", at positions 355 to 861 of the family's 1533-position model. The record is from RNAcentral.